GCGGUAUAAGGUCCAAAAAAGAAGCUUCUAACUUCUUUCUAAAGCGGUUUAACUCCGUUUAUAUCCUA
This 68-nucleotide transfer RNA is filed under the name Leptodius sanguineus. RNAcentral's name for it is "tRNA-Ser". Lineage: Eukaryota; Metazoa; Arthropoda; Malacostraca; Decapoda; Xanthidae. The record is from RNAcentral.